UCUGAGCAAGGUGCAGGGCGGCUCCUGAGAAAAGGAUUCUACCUAAUUAAAGUUUAGCCUUCUGCCUAGAGACCCUGCCUCUGACUCAGGAUUCAGGGUGUAUUUCUGGCUUGGGAACCCAGCUAACCGCCUGUAUUGUUACCUGAUGUUCUGAAGUGACAAUGUAUCUGUUUGCAGGAUAUAAAAGGACAAUCAGAGAAGAAGGACUUGUCAACAUUUGUCCCGCCUUGCUGAGGAGAUGCCAGGAGAGGUCUCCCUCUCUAGUGUGAAUUAACAGACUGGCUUUGGUUUAUACAUCAGUCACUUGUGCAUAGGGGCAGUGUGAGUCAGGCCCAGGCCUGCUCGGGAAAGCCUAACAUGUGACUGCAAAGCUGUGGCCUGGCCUUGGGUGCUGCUUCCUGAGAGGACUGUGUCUAGGACAUCCUUGACAUCUCUUGUCUUAAACCAGCACGACUUUGCUAGAAAACUUGGAGUUAAACAUGUGACUUGCACUGUAUUUCUACUGGACAGCAGUGGAGAAGGAUGGGACCAAACACCAGUGUACCUGGGUGGGGCUUCCAAGGAAAGAGGAACGAUGUUCUCCUCCUGCACACACGGAUGCAACUGUAUGUGUGUGUGCACAGGUGGGGAGGACUGUUGCAUUACAGAGACAGAAGCUAAAGUCUGGCACACCUAUAGUGUCUCAGGCCCUCUACCACGCAGUGGCCAUGGUGGCAUAUAAACUCCAGACUGUCUGACUCCACAGACUGGCCUCUUCCCCUGCUGCCUCUCCCAGGCCUCCUGGACUCCACAUCCCAGAAGGAGGCUGGGCUCAGGUUGGGUGAGGUCCCUGGGCAGAGGUAUGCAGGUUCCAUCUUAUCAGACCUUUUAAUCUGUCCGUUUGAGUCCAACCUUUCAUUUUAGUGGCACUAAUGACCUUCACCUAUCUAAAUCUGCUACACUUCCCCAAGCCCCAAAUCUUUUUUCCUCCUGUUCCAGCCCCUCUCUGUUCCUGUGUGUUCAGGUCUCACAUUCUCUCCCACCUCUUAAAUGUUCCGUCUCCUAACACUGUUGCAUUGGGGAUAAAGUCCCAAAACAUGAACUUUGGCAGGCUGUCGCAGGCUGUAUCCUGAGCUUAUAAUCCUUACUAACCCUUGACACCCCAGAGUCAACCCCUGGCAUGGUGACAUUUCUCAGUAAGUGCUUGUUGAAAUAGUAGUAGUUAUGAUUACAGAAUGGCUACCACUGCGUUCCAAGUGCUCGUCUAGCCCUUCAUGUGGAUAAUCUCUAAGGCAGUGCAAUAAUUAGCUGAGCAAUGGUGCCUGAGGUUUAUAGUACAUAACACAUUGUUGACCAGUCACAAGUUACCCAGUAACGUGGAUAGUUUCUGUGAAAAAUUGCCAGUCCACAAUGUGUUAAGAUGUUAGAGAUGUGAAGUGAGUCUAUGUUAUAAGCAGCUGAGAGAUCAGGAGGGGAGAAAGAAUAAAACAGGCUGAAUUUGGGACAGCUGGGGAUUGAGACUGGGAGAAAUCAACCAGGGAUUAGCUGCUAUGUUAACAUGUUAUGAACUGGCAAUUUUAGAUAGAAACUAUCCAUGUUACCUGGUAACUCAUGAACCAUCAAAAAUGUGUUCACUGACUCCCCAAGUUCACUAGUUGGUAAUUAAAAUAACUAUAAUGUCUGGCUAUAAUGUUUAGUCUAAUGAGAAGAACUCUGGUGGUUCCUGCCUAUAAUCGUAGCACUCUGGGAGGC
Long non-coding RNA from Otolemur garnettii (small-eared galago), 1731 nucleotides. RefSeq lists it as uncharacterized. Lineage: Eukaryota; Metazoa; Chordata; Mammalia; Primates; Galagidae. The record is from RefSeq and is a predicted model, not a curated record. The transcript is spliced from 3 exons.